This 416-nucleotide ribosomal RNA is filed under the name uncultured bacterium. RNAcentral's name for it is "bacterial SSU rRNA". It matches the Rfam family "Bacterial small subunit ribosomal RNA", at positions 355 to 766 of the family's 1533-position model. The record is from RNAcentral.
UGAGGAAUUUUGGACAAUGGGGGGAAACCCUGAUCCAGCGACGCCGCGUGAGGGAUGAAGGUCUUCGGAUUGUAAACCUCUUUUAUUCGGGAAUAAGAAAUCUAUGGAAACAUAGAGAGUGAAUGUACCGAAUGAAUAAGCCACGGCUAACUUCGUGCCAGCAGCCGCGGUAAUACGAAGGUGGCAAGCGUUACUCGGAAUUACUAGGCGUAAAGGGCAGGUAGGUGGUUUGAUAAGUCUGUUGUGAAAGCUCCUGGCUUAACUGGGAGAGGUCAACAGAAACUAUCAGGCUUGAGUAUGGGAGAGGGUACUGGAAUUCCCGGUGUAGCGGUGAAAUGCGCAGAGAUCGGGAGGAAUACCUAUGGCGAAAGCAGGUACCUGGACCAUUACUGACACUCAGCUGCGAAAGCUAGGGG